ACGGAGGGGGCGAGCGUUAUUCGGAAUUAUUGGGCGUAAAGGGCGCGUAGGCGGCUCGAUAAGUCAAAGGUGAAAUCCCCCGGCUUAACCUGGGAACUGCGUCUGAUACUGGACGGCUCGAGUAUGGGAGAGGGAUGUAGAAUUCCAGGUGUAGCGGUGAAAUGCGUAGAUAUCUGGAGGAAUACCGGUGGCGAAGGCGGCAUCCUGGACCAUUUACUGACGCUGAGGCGCGAAAGCUAGGGGAGCAAACGGGA
RNAcentral lists this ribosomal RNA (254 nucleotides) under uncultured prokaryote. RNAcentral's name for it is "partial 16S ribosomal RNA". It matches the Rfam family "Bacterial small subunit ribosomal RNA", at positions 525 to 777 of the family's 1533-position model. The record is from RNAcentral.